UGGGGAAUAUUGCGCAAUGGGCGAAAGCCUGACGCAGCGACGCCGCGUGAGGGAUGAAGGUUUUCGGAUCGUAAACCUCUGUCAGAAGGGAAGAAACCGCACUGUGCUGAUCAGCAGUGCCUUGACGGUACCUUCAAAGGAAGCACCGGCUAACUCCGUGCCAGCAGCCGCGGUAAUACGGAGGGUGCAAGCGUUAAUCGGAAUUACUGGGCGUAAAGCGCACGUAGGCUGCUUUGUAAGUCAGGGGUGAAAUCCCACGGCUCAACCGUGGAACUGCCUUUGAUACUGCUUAGCUUGAAUCCGGGAGAGGGUGGCGGAAUUCCAGGUGUAGGAGUGAAAUCCGUAGAUAUCUGGAGGAACAUCAGUGGCGAAGGCGGCCACCUGGACCGGUAUUGACGCUGAGGUGCGAAAGCGUGGGGAGCAAACAGG
This 429-nucleotide ribosomal RNA is filed under the name Fusobacteriota bacterium. Its description in RNAcentral is "Fusobacteria bacterium partial 16S ribosomal RNA". It matches the Rfam family "Bacterial small subunit ribosomal RNA", at positions 355 to 776 of the family's 1533-position model. The record is from RNAcentral. Lineage: Bacteria; Fusobacteriati; Fusobacteriota.